AGCAACUUGUCCAUUCUCUGUCAUGUGUGGCUGAAGCAAGAUAAAGGUGAUUUCCUUGAGAGAAAUGAGUUAUGUGAGGGAUGAAUUUUCAGUGAAUUUGCUGGUUGCUAAUUUUCUGGAUAAUGUAGAACAAGGAUUUUCUUUUUUUUUUAAGCUGUUGUUUACCUGUACGCAAAAUAGAGUAGAAAUAACAAUAGAAAUUUCAACAAAUGUGUUGUUUUUGUUUUCUUAAGCUUGCAAUUUUCAAGAUGAUUUGUUGAAUGACAAUCCUAAAUGCUGAAAAUUCCUUCAAUUGCAAGGUUGGUAUUUCAAUACAAUACGCCAAAAAGUGGGGAAUAUGUGUUUGUUGUAGUUGAAUUAUUAAGGAACUGAGAAUUUGAUAUAGUUUUCCUGCUUUAGUUGGUUUAAAAAGAUUUGCAAAAGGCAGCUAGACCAAAUCUUUAACUCUCACCACCUGUAAGGCUGUAACAAUGAGAUGGGCAAAAGGGAUUUGAGGAAGUAGGAAUAUGCAGGGAUGAUAGUAGUCAGUUUAGAGAGCAUAGAAAGAAAAUGAGAUGGGGAAUCUAGUUAAAGAGAGAAAGAAAAGCUGAUCAGCAACGAAUCUGGCUUCCUGUGUUGGAGAAGAAAUCUUCAUGAAGCAAUAGCCGGU
Molecule: unclassified non-coding RNA, 649 nt
Filed under: Hevea brasiliensis (rubber tree)
Lineage: Eukaryota; Viridiplantae; Streptophyta; Magnoliopsida; Malpighiales; Euphorbiaceae
Source: RNAcentral